CUACGGGAGGCAGCAGUGGGGAAUAUUGCACAAUGGGCGCAAGCCUGAUGCAGCCAUGCCGCGUGAAUGAUGAAGGCCUUAGGGUUGUAAAAUUCUUUCGCCAAGGAUGAUAAUGACAGUACUUGGUAAAGAAGCCCCGGCUAACUUCGUGCCAGCAGCCGCGGUAAUA
Molecule: ribosomal RNA, 169 nt
Filed under: alpha proteobacterium KbN1-B3
Lineage: Bacteria; Pseudomonadati; Pseudomonadota; Alphaproteobacteria
Description: partial 16S ribosomal RNA
Rfam family: Bacterial small subunit ribosomal RNA
Source: RNAcentral